This 497-nucleotide ribosomal RNA is filed under the name uncultured bacterium. RNAcentral's name for it is "partial 16S ribosomal RNA". It matches the Rfam family "Bacterial small subunit ribosomal RNA", at positions 28 to 507 of the family's 1533-position model. The record is from RNAcentral.
GAUGAACGCUGGCGGCGUGCCUAAUACAUGCAAGUCGAGCGAACAGACGAGGAGCUUGCUCCUCUGACGUUAGCGGCGGACGGGUGAGUAACACGUGGAUAACCUACCUAUAAGACUGGGAUAACUUCGGGAAACCGGAGCUAAUACCGGAUAAUAUAUUGAACCGCAUGGUGCAAUAGUGAAAGACGGUUUUGCUGUCACUUAUAGAUGGAUUCGCGCCGCAUUAGCUAGUUGGUAAGGUAACGGAUUAACAAGGCAACGAUGCGUAGCCGACCUGAGAGGGGGAGAGGCCACACUGGAACUGAGACACGGUCCAGACUCCUACGGGAGGCAGCAGUAGGGAAUCUUCCGGAAUGGGCGAAAGCCUGACGGAGCAGCGCCGCGUGAGUGAUGAAGGUCUUCGGAUCGUAAAACUCUGUUAUUAGGGAAGAACAAAUGUGUAAGUAACUAUGCACGUCUUGACGGUAACUAAUCAGAAAGCCACGGCUAACUACGUG